RNAcentral lists this ribosomal RNA (437 nucleotides) under uncultured bacterium. RNAcentral's name for it is "bacterial SSU rRNA". It matches the Rfam family "Bacterial small subunit ribosomal RNA", at positions 343 to 797 of the family's 1533-position model. The record is from RNAcentral.
CGGAGGCAGCAGUGGGGAAUAUUGGACAAUGGAGGCAACUCUGAUCCAGCCAUGCCGCGUGAAUGAUGAAGGCCUUAGGGUUGUAAAGUUCUUUAAGUGGGGAAGAUAAUGACGGUACCCACAGAAUAAGCACCGGCUAACUUCGUGCCAGCAGCCGCGGUAAUACGAAGGGUGCUAGCGUUGUUCGGAAUUACUGGGCGUAAAGCGCGUGUAGGUGGUCUUCUCAGCCAGAGGUGAAAUCCCGGAGCUUAACUUCGGAAUUGCCUUUGGUACUGGAAGGCUAGAGUCUGUUAGAGGAUAGUGGAAUUCCUAGUGUAGCGGUGAAAUGCGUAGAUAUUAGGAGGAACACCAGUGGCGAAGGCGGCUAUCUGGGACAGUACUGACACUAAGACGCGAAAGCGUGGGGAGCAAACAGGAUUAGAUACCCGCGUAGUCCG